GCUGUCUAUAGCAUACUAUAGCUGUGUUUGAAACUCAYUGCACCUUGAGCUCAGUGAUUAAUCCUUCUGCCUUGAUGCUGCAAAUAAGUCCCAGCCAACUCUGUGGAAAAGCUGAGGGUGUGAACAGCAUAUGAGAAGAGCAGGUCCUCCUGAGUGCCUUGGCUCUGACACAGCAUCUGUAUGGGGACCAACAGCAACAUCUGCCUGCCAGUUCCUGUGGAAAACCCUCCUCCUCUGAGCUCUUCCG
This is a long non-coding RNA of Nothoprocta perdicaria, 247 nucleotides long. RefSeq lists it as uncharacterized. The transcript is spliced from 3 exons. The record is from RefSeq and is a predicted model, not a curated record. NCBI's taxonomy places the organism in Eukaryota, Metazoa, Chordata, Aves, Tinamiformes, Tinamidae.